This 641-nucleotide ribosomal RNA is filed under the name uncultured bacterium. RNAcentral describes it as "bacterial SSU rRNA". It matches the Rfam family "Bacterial small subunit ribosomal RNA", at positions 67 to 704 of the family's 1533-position model. The record is from RNAcentral.
GGGCAGCACUAGAUUUCGGUCUAGGUGGCGACCGGCGGACGGGUGCGUAACGCGUAUGCAACCUACCUUAUACAGGGGGAUAGCCCAGAGAAAUUUGGAUUAAUACCCCAUGGUAUUGUUUAGAGGCAUCUUUAGACACUUAAAGAUUUAUUGGUAUAAGAUGGGCAUGCGUCUGAUUAGUUAGUUGGUGAGGUAAUGGCUCACCAAGGCGACGAUCAGUAGGGGUUCUGAGAGGAUGAUCCCCCACACUGGCACUGAGAUACGGGCCAGACUCCUACGGGAGGCAGCAGUAGGGAAUAUUGGUCAAUGGGCGAGAGCCUGAACCAGCCAUGCCGCGUGCAGGAAGACGGCCUUCUGGGUUGUAAACUGCUUUUAUAUGGGAAGAAAAGGGUCCUGCGGGACACAUUGCCGGUACCAUAUGAAUAAGCACCGGCUAACUCCGUGCCAGCAGCCGCGGUAAUACGGAGGGUGCAAGCGUUGUCCGGAUUUAUUGGGUUUAAAGGGUACGUAGGCGGCCGAUUAAGUCAGUGGUGAAAACCUCCAGCUCAACUGGAGAGGUGCCAUUGAUACUGGUUGGCUUGAGUUCUGUUAAGGUAGGCGGAAUUGAUGGUGUAGCGGUGAAAUGCAUAGAUACCAUCAGG